AGUGAACGCUGGCGGUAGGCCUAACACAUGCAAGUCGAACGGCAGCACAGUAAGAGCUUGCUCUUACGGGUGGCGAGUGGCGGACGGGUGAGGAAUACAUCGGAAUCUACUUUUUCGUGGGUGAUAACGUAGGGGAACUUACGCUAAUACCGCAUACGACCUACGGGUGAAAGCAGGGGAUCUUCGGACCUUGCGCGAGUGAAUGAGCCGAUGUCGGAUUAGCUAGUUGGCGGGGUAAAGGCCCACCAAGGCGACGAUCCGUAGCUGGUCUGAGAGGAUGAUCAGCCACACUGGAACUGAGACACGGUCCAGACUCCUACGGGAGGCAGCAGUGGGGAAUAUUGGACAAUGGGCGCAAGCCUGAUCCAGCCAUACCACGUGGGUGAAGAAGGCCCUCGGGUUGUAAAGCCCUUUUGUUGGGAAAGAAAAGCAGCAGGUUAAUACCCCGCUGUUCUGACGGUACCCAAAGAAUAAGCACCGGCUAACUUCGUG
Molecule: ribosomal RNA, 492 nt
Filed under: uncultured bacterium
Lineage: Bacteria
Description: partial 16S ribosomal RNA
Rfam family: Bacterial small subunit ribosomal RNA
Source: RNAcentral